Molecule: ribosomal RNA, 253 nt
Filed under: uncultured prokaryote
Description: partial 16S ribosomal RNA
Rfam family: Bacterial small subunit ribosomal RNA
Source: RNAcentral
UACGGAGGGGGUUAGCGUUGUUCGGAAUUACUGGGCGUAAAGCGCACGUAGGCGGACUGAUCAGUUAGAGGUGAAAUCCCAGGGCUCAACCCUGGAACUGCCUUUAAUACUGUCAGUCUAGAGAUCGAGAGAGGUGAGUGGAAUUCCAAGUGUAGAGGUGAAAUUCGUAGAUAUUUGGAGGAACACCAGUGGCGAAGGCGGCUCACUGGCUCGAUACUGACGCUGAGGUGCGAAAGCGUGGGGAGCAAACAGG